RNAcentral lists this ribosomal RNA (207 nucleotides) under uncultured bacterium. Its description in RNAcentral is "partial 16S ribosomal RNA". It matches the Rfam family "Bacterial small subunit ribosomal RNA", at positions 568 to 773 of the family's 1533-position model. The record is from RNAcentral.
CUCGUAGGUGGCCAACUAAGUCAGACGUGAAAUCCCUCAGCUUAACUGGGGAACUGCGUCUGAUACUGGAUGGCUUGAGUUUGGGAGAGGGAUGCGGAAUUCCAGGUGUAGCGGUGAAAUGCGUAGAUAUCUGGAGGAACACCGGUGGCGAAGGCGGCAUCCUGGACCAACACUGACACUGAGGAGCGAAAAGCCAGGGGAGCAACG